Molecule: non-coding RNA, 191 nt
Filed under: Geobacter sp.
Lineage: Bacteria; Pseudomonadati; Thermodesulfobacteriota; Desulfuromonadia; Geobacterales; Geobacteraceae
Also listed under: 1 other name
Source: RNAcentral
AAAUUGAAUAGUUAACUUGGUGCGCCGGUAUCGGUAGAUACGGCGUUAAAAGGGAAGGAGGUGCGAUUCCUCCACUGUCCCGCAACUGUGAACGGUGAUGAAAGCCGCUUGAUGCCACUGAGAUAUUCGGGAAGGCGCGGCAAGUAAAGUGACCCGUAAGUCAGGAAACCUGCCAGGUUGACCGCUGAAAA